CUUAAACUCGCUAUUAAUCAUAUCGCUUAGGGAGUCCCACAUCAAUUUCUCCGCGUUAGUGCAGAGAUAUCGCAAGAAUUGUACGGAUCGGAAGGAAUCCCCUCAAUUUAUUUUAGUUCUUCGGAACAAAUAAUAAUACAUAUGUACAUCUCAACACAUUGAUAAAUUAAUCAUAGAAAGAUUCUCUUAUGAAUAUAAGAGAUGAAUAUUAAUUACCUCCUGAGUAAAUUUUAUCACUUAUGUGGAGAAUGGACAGCGCAUUCGACAGUUUGGAUUGAAGACGAUAACAAGAGAGAAUGAUCACCACGAGGGGAAGCAACAGGAGAGGAGAGUUGAUUGCAACGAGGGAAUCGCCCCAUCGCAAUCGGCACAAUACAAGUAACUAUAUACAAUACAAAAGCAGACAUUGAGAACAGAGUCAGGGACGAAUUUCACUUCCCCACUAGCAACACGUUUAGAGGUUUGCUUUAUCCGAUGGGUGUUCCUGUGAAAAAUCACAUCAUUUAGGAAGUGAUGAGUCACGAGCUGUCACGAGAAUAAACUCCUGUGGUGAAUUUCUACGAUAUGGUCAUGAAAAUAACCCGGAAUUGUACUGUUCCUUGAAGUAAUGGCGUGACACAAAAAUAUCAUCACUCCGAA
Long non-coding RNA from Fopius arisanus, 639 nucleotides. RefSeq lists it as uncharacterized. The record is from RefSeq and is a predicted model, not a curated record. Lineage: Eukaryota; Metazoa; Arthropoda; Insecta; Hymenoptera; Braconidae. The transcript has 3 exons.